UUCAACGGAGAGUUUGAUUCUGGCUCAGGACGAACGCUGGCGGCGUGCUUAACACAUGCAAGUCGAACGAUGAAGCCUAGCUUGCUAGGUGGAUUAGUGGCGAACGGGUGAGUAAUACGUGAGUAACCUACCUUUAACUCUGGGAUAAGCCUGGGAAACUGGGUCUAAUACCGGAUACGACCAAUCUCCGCAUGGGGUGUUGGUGGAAAGCGUUAUGUAGUGGUUAUAGAUGGGCUCACGGCCUAUC
This 247-nucleotide ribosomal RNA is filed under the name Selenomonas sp. Its description in RNAcentral is "partial 16S ribosomal RNA". It matches the Rfam family "Bacterial small subunit ribosomal RNA", at positions 1 to 242 of the family's 1533-position model. Lineage: Bacteria; Bacillati; Bacillota; Negativicutes; Selenomonadales; Selenomonadaceae. The record is from RNAcentral.